Molecule: ribosomal RNA, 253 nt
Filed under: uncultured bacterium
Lineage: Bacteria
Description: partial 16S ribosomal RNA
Rfam family: Bacterial small subunit ribosomal RNA
Source: RNAcentral
UACGAAGGGGGCUAGCGUUGCUCGGAAUUACUGGGCGUAAAGCGCGCGUAGGCGGCUUUGCAAGUCGAGUGUGAAAUCCCCAGGCUUAACCUGGGAACUGCAUUCGAGACUGCAUAGCUAGAGUAUGGGAGAGGGAAGUGGGAUUUCAGGUGUAGCGGUGAAAUGCGUAGAUAUCUGAAGGAACAUCAGUGGCGAAAGCGACUUCCUGGACCAAUACUGACGCUCAUGUGCGAAAGCGUGGGGAGCAAACAGG